UACGUAGGGUGCAAGCGUUGUCCGGAAUUAUUGGGCGUAAGGAGCUCGUAGGCGGUCUGUCGCGUCUGCUGUGAAAACUCAGGGCUUAACCCUGAGCUUGCAGUGGGUACGGGCAGACUAGAGUGCGGUAGGGGAGACUGGAAUUCCUGGUGUAGCGGUGAAAUGCGCAGAUAUCAGGAGGAACACCGAUGGCGAAGGCAGGUCUCUGGGCAUUAACUGACGCUGAGGAGCGAAAGCAUGGGGAGCGAACAGG
RNAcentral lists this ribosomal RNA (253 nucleotides) under uncultured bacterium. RNAcentral describes it as "partial 16S ribosomal RNA". It matches the Rfam family "Bacterial small subunit ribosomal RNA", at positions 524 to 776 of the family's 1533-position model. The record is from RNAcentral.